This 253-nucleotide ribosomal RNA is filed under the name uncultured bacterium. RNAcentral describes it as "partial 16S ribosomal RNA". It matches the Rfam family "Bacterial small subunit ribosomal RNA", at positions 524 to 776 of the family's 1533-position model. The record is from RNAcentral.
UACAGAGGGUGCGAGCGUUGUCCGGAAUCACUGGGCGUAAAGGGCGCGUAGGCGGCUCGGUAAGCGUGCGGUGAAAGCCCGGGGCUCAACCCCGGGUCGGCCGUGCGAACUGCGGGGCUCGAGCACUGUAGAGGCAGGUGGAAUUCCGGGAGUAGCGGUGGAAUGCGUAGAGAUCCGGAAGAACACCGGUGGCGAAGGCGGCCUGCUGGGCAGUGACUGACGCUGAGACGCGACAGCGUGGGGAGCAAACAGG